This 427-nucleotide ribosomal RNA is filed under the name uncultured bacterium. Its description in RNAcentral is "bacterial SSU rRNA". It matches the Rfam family "Bacterial small subunit ribosomal RNA", at positions 355 to 774 of the family's 1533-position model. The record is from RNAcentral.
UGGGGAAUCUUCCGCAAUGGACGAAAGUCUGACGGAGCAACGCCGCGUGAGUGAAGAAGGCCUUCGGGUUGUAAAGCUCUGUUAAUCGGGACGAAAGAGCAGUAUGCUAAUACCAUACUGAAGUGACGGUACCGGAAUAGAAAGCCACGGCUAACUACGUGCCAGCAGCCGCGGUAAUACGUAGGUGGCAAGCGUUGUCCGGAAUUAUUGGGCGUAAAGCGCGCGCAGGCGGAUCUGUAAGUCUAUCUUAAAAGUUCGGGGCUUAACCCCGUGAGGGGAUGGAAACUGUGGAUCUUGAGUAUCGGAGAGGAAAGUGGAAUUCCUAGUGUAGCGGUGAAAUGCGUAGAGAUUAGGAAGAACACCAGUGGCGAAGGCGACUUUCUGGACGAACACUGACGCUGAGGCGCGAAAGCCAGGGGAGCGAACG